This is a long non-coding RNA of Clupea harengus (Atlantic herring), 4574 nucleotides long. The record is from Ensembl. NCBI's taxonomy places the organism in Eukaryota, Metazoa, Chordata, Actinopteri, Clupeiformes, Clupeidae.
AUCUCCACCUGAUAACAAAGAUGUAGCCUUUUCAUUUUGUCACACAUUGUAUACAUUACCCAUUAACCUUCAUUUCAUGACCUUUAGACGUAGGUGUGCUGGUAAGGGAUUUUGCUCUUCCGGACCAAAAAGCAAAAGCAGUGUGUUUUAUGUUUAUGGUCACUGAAGAUACAGAGAUAGUGGUUUAGCUUAGUUACAAAGCUAACUACAUUAGAUAGGCGUUAAAGAUGUCUGCAUAGUGGUAUGGACGCCUACUCUUGCCAGCCAUUCUGGGUAUAAAAUAAAAUCGCUUACUGCCCUGAUAUCCUUUUAUAGUCUGAAGUAGGAGAAUGUCUCCUGCACAGAUAAUCAGUCACCAGGUGAGAGUCUCAAAUACAGGGGAGUCCUCUGUUUUAAAAUUUGGCGCGUGGGAGAGGAGGCUUUAAAUGAAACCAAAAACCUAAUUCGCUAGCCUGAAGCCUGAAAUUCAGUUUCAUUCUUCGUAUUAUUGGUGCCUGCUUGAGGAAGAAGUAACAAGGUUCAGUAAGGCCUUGCCCAACAGAAUAAAGAAUGGUGAAAGUAUUUUUCGUCCUUGCUGGAAACACUCAGAACACCCAGGCACAGUUUUGGCAGCGCCUGGUCAGAAGAGGUACCAAUGCGGUGAAAGUGGCCAACAUUAGAGACUGUGAUGUGACCCUCACAUUCUGUCCAAUCGUCUCACGAGUUGGAACUGAUGUAGAGGCAGCCGUCCAGCUGAUCCCAACAACUAGACCUGGAGUCCUGGUUUGACUGCACCCAACCUUUAACCCAGAGGAAAUCGUCCCAGACGCCAGCAGAUUUGUACGCCGUGCUGACAUCCUAACUGUCAACUGCUUGUUCCACGAGAGCGAGCUACUGAACAGUGACUGCAAUGACAAAGCGUGUGAAAGUGUUUCCCGUUACUUAAUGCACUUCCAGAGGGGAACUGCCUCUCAAAGCCCAUACCAUCAUGUUGUCUACGAUCUUCCUUGUCCAACUCAGAAUCAAAACCAUGGUUGCCUUUAUUCAAUAUCACCAAAACUUCACAAGUAUCGCGUACCGCUGAUAGCUUGCAUAGUAUUAUUUUUUAUAUCGAUUUUCAUCUGGAUUAUGACAUUGCUCUAAAACAAGCGCCAUUAAGGACGUCUCAUUUUGUUAAAUUCUCUCAGAGGACCUGAGGAAUGAGAUGAGAUGUGAAGAAACAGUGGACCGUUUCAAUUGGAAUGCCUGACAUAUGGUCAGAGGUGGAUUCUUCCCUCCUCUUUACAUCUGUCAACCUACAAUUUAAAAUAACAUGUAGUGGUUUAUGAACAAAAAUAAAAUAUUAGUCAAACCAAGAAAACAUCUUCAUACUCUUGAAUCAUACUCAAAUAUGGCAACUUUAACAACACAUACACGAUUGUGUUGCCUACAGGAUUGUGUUUAAAAAAUAAUAUACUUAUACAUAUGCCUGUUGUGCUACUAACUUGUGAGAAGGUGAAUUCUCCCCCUCCUAACCGUGGCAAAAAGGGAUGGUGCCCUUUAAGACUUUUGGACUCCCCCACCAUAAUGGUUGGGUCUGGGCUCCCCUGCUUCCAUGGUGGACCUAAUUAAGCCCAAGUGGCUGUGCCCUAUUUAAAGGCUGCCUCAUUUGUAGAGAGGGAGAGACUGUUUGUGAGAGGCAUGAGACCACUGACAGAGAGAAUAAAGAAUGGUGAAAGUAUUUAUCAUCUUUGCUGGAAACACUCUGAACACUCAUGCAAAGUUUUGGCAGCGCCUGGUCAGAAGUAACGAUGCGGAGGAAGUGGCCAACGUUAGAGACUGUGAUGUGACCCUCACAUUCUGUCCAAUCGUCUCACGAGUUGGAACUGAUGUAGAGGCAGCCGUCCAGCUGAUCCCAACAACUAGACCUGGAGUCCUGGUAUUACUGCACCCAACCUUUAACCCAGAGGAAAUAGUCCCAGACGCCAACAGAUUUGUAACCAGUGCUAAAAUCCUGACUGUCAACUGCUUGUUCCACGAGGGCACCCUACUGGACAGCCAUUGCAAUGACGAAGCCUUUGAAAGCGUUUCCAGUUACUUAAGGAAAAUUGCCCCACAUACUAGCUAUGAACUUCCUUCUCCACCUCAUAAUCGAAACCAUGGUUACAACUCCAUGCACAUGGUGGGGAUAACUGUCACACUAUUGGGUUUAAUCUUUAUUAUUUAUCUUUAUCUUAUGCCAUCGCUCCAAGACAAGCCAAUGGCCAGAGGUGGAAAUUCCACCUCCUCUUCACAUCUGUCAACCUAAAAUUUAAAAUGACAUGUAGUUGUUUAUGAACAAAAAUAAAUGAUCAGUCAAACCAAGAAAACAUUUUCAUACUCUUGAAUCAUCCUCAAAUAUACCAACUUUAACAAAACAUACAUGAUUGCACUGUCUACAAGAUUGUGUUUAAAAAACAAUAUACUUAUACCAUGUCAUGACAUGUCAUAUCACACCCCGUGAGCAGAAUUUGUUAAUGGUAAACUCUAGCAGAUUUGACCAGCUAUAAUAUGGUAGGUCUUCUAUCUCAGAAUUGUCUGGAAUUUCCACACACUUCGACAUAAAAUAGGCCUUAUUCAAUUCAGAGUUUGUAACUGAAGCUUCUCUUUCACACACUGUUUUUCAAAAGUUGGAAUAAUGCUUACUGGUGUGCAAUCAUGUCUCUUUUGCACUAUAAUAACUUCUGUUCUGCUGUAUCAUGUUUAAUUUGGAACACAUUUAGAAAGUUUAAGGAUUUAAAAUGAGACCUCAGCAAUUGUGAUGUUAACAUGUGGCAUAAAGAAAGUGAUGAAAUUAAAGACCUAUUAUGGGAGAAUUGGUAUUUUUUGCUAUUGAGCUCCCUCUAAAGAUGGAGAGUGUAGCUUACUUUUCAUGGAAAGUGUGUCUGCUUCUCAGAUGGAAGCUGGAAGAUUAUUCCACAGGAGAGGGUCUCGAUAGCAGAAGGCUCUGCCUCCUAUUGUGCUUUUUGACUUUCUUGGAAUUACAGAUCUGCACUCUGGGAACGAAGUGUUUUUGGUGUUAGAAGGAGUACUUUGAAAUCAAUUAUUCUUUUGACAGAGAGGCCAGUACAGGUGAGAUGUUCAAUAUAUUUUUUAGCUCUAGUAAGUGUGCGAGCAGAAACAUUCAGUAUGAGUUGGAGGCUCUUUAUUGAGUUGUUGCUAUGUCCAGACAGGAGAGGAUUGUUAGUUUAGUUUUUCGGCAUCUUGGAGGGAUAGGACUUUUCUAAUUUUGGCAAUAUUGCGUAGAUGAAAAAAUAGUGUCUGAGUUCUGUUUUCUGUGUAAGUCUAGUAGAAGGUAUUCGUUUAUAAUUAUACAGAGAUUUUUGGUGGAGUGUUGGAUGUUAAUAAGAUGCCAUUGAGUGUGGUAGAUGGUUAGAUAAUGCCAUUCUCGAUUGUUUAGGGCCUACAAGCAUAACCUCAGUUUUAUCUGAGUUAGGGAGCAGGAAGUUGUUAGUCAUCCAUGCUUAACAUCUUGCAAGCAAGCUUCCAUCUUGGGUAGCUGUACAAUUUCCUCAGAGUUCAUGGAUAGGUAGUCGGGCUAGCUAACCUGCAUAACAUUACUUAACUGUCGAUACGGUCGUCUGCUUGUUGUCAUUAGGUGAACGCUCUAAACUCGGAAGUAGGACCUUCCGGAAUGGGAACUUUCUCCAAUUCCCAGUUGCCCGAAUGCACACUGAGCAUGCACGUCUAAUUUCUCAUGUACAUCUGUCCUUUUGUUGAUGACACAACGAAAGGAAGGGAGAAUUAAGAGGGUGUCUUUAACUAUUAAUCUUUAACUUGCAUGUGGCAUCAGGAAGUACAUGCCACUGGCAGGAGGCGGGACAUGCACUUCAUGUACUCAGAGGUGUAAAGUAACGAAUUACUUUUACUCACGUUACUGUAAUUGAGUAGUUUUUUUGUGUACUUUGUAAUUUUUAAGUAGUUUUUGAAAUCGGUAAUUUUACUUUUACUUAAGUAGAUUUUGACUGAAGUAUUGUACUUCGCUACAUUGGACAUUACAUCCGUUACUGAGUAAAAAAAAAAACAUAGUUCAAGGCGGGAAUCGCGCACCACAAUUCUCACUGCAAUGGUGGAUGCUGCAUAGAGUAAAUGAUGGAGUCAUGCAAGGAGCCGGUACGGUGCCGAGUCACGAGAGAUAGAUAUGGAGGAAGAUGAUAGUGCGGACUACCAACAAGCUGAAGCACCGAACUUUCCGCCAGUUGAAAUUAAAGAAGAUGAAGAAAACCCGUGGCCAUAUCUCAGCAAGCAGUUUGCCUUCCAACGUAAAAGAGGCAACAGCUAUAUGCUGUGUAAACUGUGCCUAAUCCGCCAGUCAGAACUUUCUGCUUAUACAAAUUCAUCUUCAAAUCUGCGCAAGCAUGUGUUGGUAAGUACAGUAUUUGUCCCUUUCCAUUAGUAGUUCAGACAGCGUUUUUGUCAUUUAGUUAGCUUUGCUCCAUUAAGCAAAAUAUGCGUUUCAUGGCACUAGUAGGUAGUAGCCUAAUUUUGGCUAGCACUUGCAACCGACCUGAGUAUGCUAACGUCGACAGCGGUCAUCCAAUAGACUAAUAAUACCAUUCCUGUCUUCCAUUCGUUUC